AAGUCGAGGGGCAGCAUGAUUUGUAGCAAUACAGAUUGAUGGCGACCGGCGCACGGGUGAGUAACGCGUAUGCAACUUACCUAUCAGAGGGGGAUAGCCCGGCGAAAGUCGGAUUAAUACCCCAUAAAACAGGGGUCCCGCAUGGGAAUAUUUGUUAAAGAUUCAUCGCUGAUAGAUAGGCAUGCGUUCCAUUAGGCAGUUGGCGGGGUAACGGCCCACCAAACCGACGAUGGAUAGGGGUUCUGAGAGGAAGGUCCCCCACAUUGGUACUGAGACACGGACCAAACUCCUACGGGAGGCAGCAGUGAGGAAUAUUGGUCAAUGGCCGAGAGGCUGAACCAGCCAAGUCGCGUGAAGGAAGAAGGAUCUAUGGUUUGUAAACUUCUUUUAUAGGGGAAUAAAGUGGAGGACGUGUCCUUUUUUGUAUGUACCCUAUGAAUAAGCAUCGGCUAACUCCGUGCCAGCAGCCGCGGUAAUACGGAGGAUGCGAGCGUUAUCCGGAUUUAUUGGGUUUAAAGGGUGCGUAGGUGGUGAUUUAAGUCAGCGGUGAAAGUUUGUGGCUCAACCAUAAAAUUGCCGUUGAAACUGGGUUACUUGAGUGUGUUUGAGGUAGGCGGAAUGCGUGGUGUAGCGGUGAAAUGCAUAGAUAUCACGCAGAACUCCGAUUGCGAAGGCAGC
RNAcentral lists this ribosomal RNA (678 nucleotides) under uncultured Bacteroidales bacterium. RNAcentral's name for it is "bacterial SSU rRNA". It matches the Rfam family "Bacterial small subunit ribosomal RNA", at positions 59 to 725 of the family's 1533-position model. Lineage: Bacteria; Pseudomonadati; Bacteroidota; Bacteroidia; Bacteroidales. The record is from RNAcentral.